RNAcentral lists this ribosomal RNA (416 nucleotides) under uncultured bacterium. Its description in RNAcentral is "bacterial SSU rRNA". It matches the Rfam family "Bacterial small subunit ribosomal RNA", at positions 60 to 473 of the family's 1533-position model. The record is from RNAcentral.
AGUCGACGGCAGCCGGGGGCAACCCUGGUGGCGAGUGGCGAACGGGUGAGUAACAUAUCGGAACGUGCCCUGGAGUGGGGGAUAACUAGUCGAAAGACUAGCUAAUACCGCAUACGAUCUACGGAUGAAAGUGGGGGAUCGCAAGACCUCAUGCUCGUGGAGCGGCCGAUAUCUGAUUAGCUAGUUGGUGGGGUAAAGGCCUACCAAGGCAUCGAUCAGUAGCUGGUCUGAGAGGACGACCAGCCACACUGGGACUGAGACACGGCCCAGACUCCUACGGGAGGCAGCAGUGGGGAAUUUUGGACNAUGGGGGCAACCCUGAUCCAGCAAUGCCGCGUGAGUGAAGAAGGCCUUCGGGUUGUAAAGCUCUUUUGUCUCGGAAGAAACGGCAGGAGCUAAUAUCUCCUGCUAAUGAC